AUCGCUACAGUGAAUAGUGAAAAUUUGCUGACUGGUUACUUCUAGUGUUUGGUUUGAUGUCAUUUCAUUUCCUGGUGUGACGGUGCGGAGCUAAUCGCUGCAUUUUAGUGACCCCCGAACAGACAACCAAUCAGGAAAGAGGCAGGACAACAUGCAGUCAGGAAACACACAAGGUUCCUCACAAGAACAGGCAACAGCGUCAUUUAUUUUUUCCACACCUGAUCCUGCAGCUGGUUUCGCAAAGGAUGCAUGUUCAGUCUUUAUUACAAGUUUGAAAACACCCCCCCAGCUCAUCCUCAUCCAGAAGCUUCUCUUCGAAUUGUUUCCAGCUCUGACAAGAUCUCUUCCUUCCCCCAGCAUGCUGCCAAUGGCUGGGUACUGGUAUGAUAUUUAUAAACGUUAAACCCAUUGUAAAAAAAUAAUUUUUAGGAUGUUUUACCAGAGAGGAAAUGCUUAAGAAUGUCAGGGUAGAGAAGGAAAUUUCUGCUUGCUUACUUUUAAUUGAGUCAUUUUCAAAAGUAAAACCAGACGCAUCAAGCAUGGUGUAUUUUUGGAUCCUCCUGAACACAAACGUAAGUAACCGAUUCUGUCCAAGAGCUUUGCAUGUACUGCUUUGAUUAUGUAGUUAUGAGAAUCCAUUGUACCUAGAACACACACACACACACACCUCCCACACACUUCAAGGGCUGCGUACUUCUGAGAGCUGUAGUUCAAUAAACUUCUUAUUAAUUUCUCCUUCCUCUUCCCACUUGGUGAGUGAUCGUUGACCUGGACAAGGUGAGUCAACACACCGACAAAAUGCAGUGUGAGAAGCUCAAGUCGGCUCCGAAGGAAUUAAAGGGUCUUCUGCUCGUGACACGGAGCUGAUGUGACUGAAUAUCUUAAAACUUCUGUUGGUGAAACAGCAGGCGAUUUGAUGCUUAAAAGAUCAUUUCUGUAAGCCGAAGUCUCAGGUCCUGCGUGGAUCUCCGACUCACCACAGCAGGAAUAUCCUGCUGUAUAAA
This is a long non-coding RNA of Brienomyrus brachyistius, 1004 nucleotides long. RefSeq lists it as uncharacterized. The record is from RefSeq and is a predicted model, not a curated record. The transcript is spliced from 3 exons. NCBI's taxonomy places the organism in Eukaryota, Metazoa, Chordata, Actinopteri, Osteoglossiformes, Mormyridae.